This 248-nucleotide ribosomal RNA is filed under the name uncultured Lactobacillus sp. Its description in RNAcentral is "partial 16S ribosomal RNA". It matches the Rfam family "Bacterial small subunit ribosomal RNA", at positions 116 to 355 of the family's 1533-position model. The record is from RNAcentral. Lineage: Bacteria; Bacillati; Bacillota; Bacilli; Lactobacillales; Lactobacillaceae.
CGUGGGUAACCUGCCCAAGAGAUCGGGAUAACACCUGGAAACAGAUGCUAAUACCGGAUAACAACAGAUGAUGCCUAUCAACUGGUUUUAAAAGAUGGUUCUGCUAUCACUCUUGGAUGGACCUGCGGUGCAUUAGCUAGUUGGUAGGGUAACGGCCUACCAAGGCGAUGAUGCAUAGCCGAGUUGAGAGACUGAUCGGCCACAUUGGGACUGAGACACGGCCCAAACUCCUACGGGAGGCAGCAGCC